GCGUCGCUGGAUCGCCGGUACGGUUGCCGGCAUCCUGGCGGGCGCGGCUUGCCGUGUUCGACUCGCGGGCGACGCG
RNAcentral lists this transfer RNA (76 nucleotides) under Caballeronia concitans. Its description in RNAcentral is "tRNA-???(cc)". Lineage: Bacteria; Pseudomonadati; Pseudomonadota; Betaproteobacteria; Burkholderiales; Burkholderiaceae. The record is from RNAcentral.